This 525-nucleotide ribosomal RNA is filed under the name Triticum aestivum (bread wheat). Its description in RNAcentral is "partial small subunit ribosomal RNA". Lineage: Eukaryota; Viridiplantae; Streptophyta; Magnoliopsida; Poales; Poaceae. The record is from RNAcentral.
AUGUGGCAGAGAUCUAGAGAUAGGAAGAUCAAAGAGGGAGAUAGAAACACAACAUAUGUUCAUGCUCUUGCUAACCAACGCAGAAGGAAGAAUCAACUGUCUAUCCUGGAAGGUCCAGAUGGGCCUAUAUACUCCACUAAAGACAUGUUGGAUGUUGCUACUGAAUUUUAUAAGAACCUCUUUGGUUAUGAACCCAGACCCAAUAUCCAUCUAGAUGACCAGUUUUGGUCUUACAAAGAGCUGGUGACAGAAGCAGAGAAUGCCUCCCUGGAAAAGCCCUUUUCAGAAGAGGAAAUUAAAGAAGCCAUCAUGAGCUCAUAUGCUAAUGGGGCCCCUGGCCCUGAUGGCCUCUCAUUCCUGUUUUAUCAACACUUUUGGGAGGUUAUCAAAAAUGUUUUUAUGGCCCUCGUGAGGGAUUUUGAAAAUGGGACCCUGGAUAUCCAGAGAAUAAAUUACUCUAUUGUUACUCUUAUCCCUAAAGAGCUAGAUGCCAAAAAUAUGAGGAAAUUUAGACCAAUUUUUUGA